Long non-coding RNA from Arabidopsis thaliana (thale cress), 306 nucleotides. RefSeq annotates it as other RNA. Lineage: Eukaryota; Viridiplantae; Streptophyta; Magnoliopsida; Brassicales; Brassicaceae. The transcript has 2 exons. The record is from RefSeq.
CUCGCUUGAGAGUCAGAUCAAAACUUGUUGAUGUCAGCAAUGCUUUCGUAUAGGAACGUUGUUACGGAUGAUUUGAUGAACCAUCCUCCAAUGGUGUGAGAUGGUCCGAUGGGCAAUAUAUCAAAAGAAACAUUAAUCGGGGUUUAAGCAGACCAAAUGUCAAAAUGGGCUUAAGAUUAAGUCCACCACAUGGGCUAUCUAUCAUGUAUAAUCAUCACAUUGUUCCCUUUCAAACUCAAAAGCCAUAGCCGUUGAGGCUUGUCAGUCCAUAUUAUGUUCCUUCAGUGGUGCGGAUUCUGUUUUUUU